AUACGGAGGGGGUUAGCGUUGUUCGGAAUUACGGGGCGUAAAGCGUACGUAGGCGGAUCAGAAAGUAUGGGGUGAAAUCCCAGGGCUCAACCCUGGAACUGCCUCAUAAACUCCUGGUCUUGAGUUCGAGAGAGGUGAGUGGAAUUCCGAGUGUAGAGGUGAAAUUCGUAGAUAUUCGGAGGAACACCAGUGGCGAAGGCGGCUCACUGGCUCGAUACUGACGCUGAGGUACGAAAGUGUGGGGAGCAAACAGGAUUAGAAACCCGAGCAGUCC
Molecule: ribosomal RNA, 274 nt
Filed under: uncultured bacterium
Lineage: Bacteria
Description: partial 16S ribosomal RNA
Rfam family: Bacterial small subunit ribosomal RNA
Source: RNAcentral